AUAGUGAGCUCACUGCUGCUGGAGCCGGAGGACUGCGCGGCAGCCGUGGCCUACUGCCUGCCGCGCGAGGCGCUGUGGCUGCUGACCAGGGCUGGGCACCUGGUCCGCGCCAACGCGGCGCGCUGCCCCAUGAGCGUGCUGCACCGCGUGUGCCCGCCGCCGCCCCCUGCGCCGCAGCCUUGCUGUCUGCACCUGUACAGCCACCUCACGGAUCUCGGAGGCGCCUUCUCCUCCUGGGAGAUCGUGCGCCAGCACUGGGGCGAGUUGCGCUGCAGCUCUGUGGCCUGCGCCUGGAAGAACAAGAACCGGUGGGUGCGGGAGCCGGCGAGGGUCUGGCGGGCGGAAGGAGCGGCAGGGUCCGCGCCAACAGGCUCUUCCCACUCGCAGGUACCUGCCAGUGGUGGGGCACACGGACGGCACGCUGUCGGUGCUGGAGUGGCUCUCGUCGAAGACUGUCUUCCAAACGGAGGCGCACAGCCCGGGCCCGGUUGUCGCCAUCGCAUCCACCUGGAACAGCAUUGUGUCUUCGGGUGGGGACCUGACGGUGAAGAUGUGGCGCGUCUUCCCCUAUGCCGAGGAGAGCCUGAGCCUGCUGCGCACCUUCUCCUGCUGCUACCCGGCCGUGGCGCUCUGUGUGCUAGGCAGACGCGUCACCGCGGGCUUUGAGGACCCAGACAGCGCUACCUACGGCCUGGUGCAGUUUGGCCUGGGCGACAGUCCGCGAUUAGACCACCGGCCCCAGGACGACCCCACGGACCACAUCACUGGUGAGGGGGCAGCACGGGUGAAGCCCAGCCACCGCCCAGCUCCGGUUCCUGACCCUGAACCCUGCCGCCAGGCCUGUGCUGCUGCCCCACGCUCAAACUGUAUGCCUGCUCCAGCCUGGACUGCACCGUUCGCAUCUGGACUGCUGAGAACCGCCUCCUGCGGCCCUGGCUUUCUGCAGCAACAGUGGAGACCUGGUGCUGGCGCUGGGAUCCCGCCUCUGCCUGGUGUCCCACAGGGUCUACCUGCCUACAUCCUACCUAGUUAAGAAGAUGUGCCAGAAGGCCCCAGACGUGGUGGACGACCCUCCGCUGCCACUGAUGAGCCAGGAGUCACUGACUUCCGCCCAACUGCAGAGGCUCACCAACCUCCAU
This 1139-nucleotide small RNA is filed under the name Pan troglodytes (chimpanzee). RNAcentral describes it as "processed transcript". The record is from RNAcentral. Lineage: Eukaryota; Metazoa; Chordata; Mammalia; Primates; Hominidae.